Molecule: ribosomal RNA, 505 nt
Filed under: uncultured bacterium
Lineage: Bacteria
Description: partial 16S ribosomal RNA
Rfam family: Bacterial small subunit ribosomal RNA
Source: RNAcentral
GACGAACGCUGGCGGCGUGCCUAAUACAUGCAAGUAGAACGCACAGUUUAUACCGUAGCUUGCUACACCAUAGACUGUGAGUUGCGAACGGGUGAGUAACGCGUAGGUAACCUGCCUGGUAGCGGGGGAUAACUAUUGGAAACGAUAGCUAAUACCGCAUAAUAUUAAUUAUUGCAUGAUAAUUAAUUGAAAGGUGCAAUUGCACCACUACCAGAUGGACCUGCGUUGUAUUAGCUAGUAGGUGAGGUAACGGCUCACCUAGGCGACGAUACAUAGCCGACCUGAGAGGGGGAUCGGCCACACUGGGACUGAGACACGGCCCAGACUCCUACGGGAGGCAGCAGUAGGGAAUCUUCGGCAAUAGACGAAAGUCUGACCGAGCAACGCCGCGGGAGUGAAGAAGGUUUUCGGAUCGUAAAGCUCUGUUGUAAGAGAAGAACGGGUGUGAGAGUGGAAAGUUCACACUGUGACGGUAUCUUACCAGAAAGGGACGGCUAACUACGUG